CUCUCCCUGGUUGUCAAACCGUGC
This 24-nucleotide non-coding RNA is filed under the name Arabidopsis thaliana (thale cress). The record is from RNAcentral. Lineage: Eukaryota; Viridiplantae; Streptophyta; Magnoliopsida; Brassicales; Brassicaceae.